This 484-nucleotide ribosomal RNA is filed under the name uncultured bacterium. RNAcentral describes it as "bacterial SSU rRNA". It matches the Rfam family "Bacterial small subunit ribosomal RNA", at positions 30 to 507 of the family's 1533-position model. The record is from RNAcentral.
AUUGAACGCUGGCGGCAUGCCUUACACAUGCAAGUCGAACGGGCAGCACGGGAGCAAUCCUGGUGGCGAGUGGCGAACGGGUGAGUAAUAUAUCGGAACGUGCCCAGUCGUGGGGGAUAACGUAGCGAAAGCUACGCUAAUACCGCAUACGAUCUAUGGAUGAAAGCGGGGGAUCGCAAGACCUCGCGCGAUUGGAGCGGCCGAUAUCAGAUUAGGUAGUUGGUGAGGUAAAGGCUCACCAAGCCGACGAUCUGUAGCUGGUCUGAGAGGACGACCAGCCACACUGGGACUGAGACACGGCCCAGACUCCUACGGGAGGCAGCAGUGGGGAAUUUUGGACAAUGGGCGCAAGCCUGAUCCAGCAAUGCCGCGUGCAGGAUGAAGGCCUUCGGGUUGUAAACUGCUUUGUACGGAACGAAACGGUGAGCUCUAAUACAGUUUGCUAAUGACGGUACCGUAAGAAUAAGCACCGGCUAACUACGUG